Molecule: ribosomal RNA, 253 nt
Filed under: uncultured bacterium
Lineage: Bacteria
Description: partial 16S ribosomal RNA
Rfam family: Bacterial small subunit ribosomal RNA
Source: RNAcentral
UACGAAGGGAGCUAGCGUUGUUCGGAAUCACUGGGCGUAAAGGGCUCGUAGGUGGCCAACUAAGUCAGACGUGAAAUCCCUCAGCUUAACUGGGGAACUGCGUCUGAUACUGGAUGGCUUGAGUUUGGGAGAGGGAUGCGGAAUUCCAGGUGUAGCGGUGAAAUGCGUAGAUAUCUGGAGGAACACCGGUGGCGAAGGCGGCAUCCUGGACCAACACUGACACUGAGGAGCGAAAGCCAGGGGAGCAAACGGG